RNAcentral lists this ribosomal RNA (253 nucleotides) under uncultured bacterium. Its description in RNAcentral is "partial 16S ribosomal RNA". It matches the Rfam family "Bacterial small subunit ribosomal RNA", at positions 524 to 776 of the family's 1533-position model. The record is from RNAcentral.
UACGUAGGGUCCGAGCGUUGUCCGGAAUUACUGGGCGUAAAGAGCUCGUAGGUGGUUUGUCGCGUUGUUCGUGAAAACUCACAGCUUAACUGUGGGCGUGCGGGCGAUACGGGCAGACUAGAGUGCGGUAGGGGAGACUGGAAUUCCUGGUGUAGCGGUGAAAUGCGCAGAUAUCAGGAGGAACACCGGUGGCGAAGGCGGGUCUCUGGGCCGUAACUGACGCUGAGGAGCGAAAGCGUGGGGAGCGAACAGG